GUCACAACAUCCUGUCAAAUCUGCUUCCUUUAUGGGCUAAUGGAUAUCGUUAUUCUUGAAAAUGAUUCAGUUAACAUAAUUAUUAAUUUGCUUUUUCCUUUUAUAAGUCUGUCACACACCUAUGUACUAUAUGUCUAUGAUGUAGCCAAAGAGUGUACACCAUAAAUGCCCAGAAGAGAUGGAACAAGUAAAGCCAGUCUCCAUGAAUAGACAAGCAGAAUGGAUCUGAGUUAUAGACUCUGAAACCAUUCUCCAUACCACAAGCAAAACAUCCUGAAAAGAUUAUAAUCAUUAUAACUGAGAAGGUGCUGACAAAGAGAAAAAAGAUUACUACAAUAAUGAUGACAGUAAAAUGAUUUCGGAAGUUGUCAUUCUGGGGCUGAAGUUUCAUCUCGCCGGCAUUUUCUGCAUCACUAAAUCUCUAACCUCCUGAGAGCUGACUGGUCGCCAGGCGAGCGCCAUGCAUGUGAGCUGUGUCACCCAUUUCACCGCAGCGCAGCUCUUGGGCCAUCAACAUUUGCAUACGUGGCCUUGACACUCAAACCCUGAGGGAACACCUAGGAAAAUCCACUUGUGCUCAUGUGCAAACCAACUUGUAGUACACACGCAGGUUUUUCCCAAGAAUCGGAGGAGGACAAUUUAACAUCUUUUCACAUUGCGCUAUUGACGAAAAGCUGAAAUGUGCUGCAUUUUGAGUGUGUGGUAUAUAAAGUAUUAUGUUCUAUUAAAAUCCAUUUGAUAUA
Long non-coding RNA from Pomacea canaliculata, 743 nucleotides. RefSeq lists it as uncharacterized. Lineage: Eukaryota; Metazoa; Mollusca; Gastropoda; Architaenioglossa; Ampullariidae. The transcript is spliced from 3 exons. The record is from RefSeq and is a predicted model, not a curated record.